GGGCAGCGGAAAGCUCCUUUGUUUCCUGUUGUGCAAUCCUAAAUAGAGGAAAAGAUAUAUUUCAGUGUGGAUCUUUAGUCUACAUAGAGAUGGCAUUAAAGCAGAAGUUCCAGAGCCACAUCAAAUAUUGGAGAUUGAAAACCAAGAACACAUCUAAUGCUGCUCAAAAUCUGGUGGCCAAUGUUGAGAAGAGGAUACUGGACUAGAUGGACCUGAACCAGCAACGCUCUUUUUAUGCUCUCAUGUCUUCCUGUUUUCUCAUCCCUGUACAGGAAAGAUACAAAUUAUUUUUGAAAAACAGAAACAUAAGACAGAAAAAACGUGUCUGCGGCAAAGCAAAACAACAAACUUCAGAGAUUACCCUGGGCCCCUCCAGACUGGUGUUUUCCUAUAGGGAUAUCCUGCAAAAUAUUAUUGGCACAAUAAAAGCAGAUCACAUUACUAAAAGCUGCAGCAUCCUGGGAAGAAGAUAUCGAGGGAGACGAGUUGAAUGUGUGCGUGUGCUCGAAAAUAUGGGGGGGGGACUCUCUCUCUAACUCGCAGGCACGCUGCUUCCUUGUAUCCUUCAGCCAGCCAAGAGUUAACAAAAUGAAGAGCUCUCAUGGAGGGUGUUCUCGGCAGUGAAAGGUGGAUGUGUUACUGGAUGUUAAGAGAAACGGUUCACUCAUCUGUCCACCAGGAGCCUGUGGUUUGAGCUUUCCACAUUUGAAGAUCUAGGCUUACAUACAGCGAAACUUCCUUUCGCAAACCUUAUCUGUGCACCCAGCUGGGGAAUCUUCUGCGCUCUUCACACAUGGCUGGGAUUUAACUGAGGAGUGGGGGAUGCUGCUGUGAGGAGUUCCCCUUUAGUUGGAUUUUUGACAGGACUCCCUCAGGUUGUCUGGAUGAAUGAGUGCCUUUCAGAGCCGGAGAAGGUAAGCCUUCCCUGUGUUACUAUAAGCAUUCCAGUUAGCAUCCCUAGGGACCACAUACAAGCCUGGCAUCGUGCCCAUUUCACACUGGGGAGAUUGGAACCGGUUCUCUCUCCACCCCCUGGCUGUGGAACCAGGUAUAUAACUUAAUUGUUUUUAGUCUUUUUUUUUGCUAUAAAAACAACAAUCCAAAAAGCAUGCAUCAUUUUGACAAGAUUUUUUUUGCAUGGUUUAAUCUGAGAGGUGCCCGUGUGAUAGUUCAAAUGCCUUAUCUAACAUGUUUGUCUAUUCCUGGAGCCUCAAAGCUAUUGCCAGAUGUUGUGGUAAAGCUAUUAACAUGGACUUACUGGAAAAAGGGGUGUAGGAUGACUGACUUUUAUGUGUUUGCUGAUGAUGGUCUUGUAGGAAACUGGUGUAACCAAAUGUCUGGUCCUCAGGUAAAUUGCCAGGAAACAAACAUACUUGCAUUUAACGUUUAAGUAAAUGCAAAAGACUUCCUCCCACUAAUGUCCUAACUUGAGAAACCAAGCUUUCCAUAGUCUAGUUAAUAUUUCAGCUGUGCCUUUAAAGAAAAGGGCAAAAUACAGUUUAUGGAGUUUCAUGUUUUAUACUUGAGCCCUUAAAGUGUUGCACCCCAAAAUGGAUAGGAUGUCCCAAUCUUUUUUCCAGGUAAUUAAAGCAAUCAACAUAAUAAGCCACAUGUUAAGGCAAAUACAUACUGCUUAGUUUGCAUACAACAGUGAAAGGUUUGGAUAAAAAAGUGAACUUUUUUUUGAGAAUAGCAGCUUUCAUCCUGCGGUGGUCUGAAAACAUAACAAAAAUAUCCACAAUGAAGUGUUCCUCUUGUGCAACUCAAAGGUGAUUCUGGCAGCGAAAGGUGGGUCUGUAAAUGGAUGUCAGAAAGCAAAUCCCUCUUCUGUCCACCACCAGCUUGUGGUCAGAGCUUCUGUAUUUUGAGGAUCUAUGUCAGGCUGCAUAUAGGAAACUAU
Non-coding RNA from Zootoca vivipara (common lizard), 1900 nucleotides. The record is from RefSeq and is a predicted model, not a curated record. NCBI's taxonomy places the organism in Eukaryota, Metazoa, Chordata, Lepidosauria, Squamata, Lacertidae.